CACAAGGCCUUAAUAAAGGCCAGUAAGAGAUUUAAAAUAACAAUUU
This is a non-coding RNA of Tauraco erythrolophus (red-crested turaco), 46 nucleotides long. The record is from Rfam. Lineage: Eukaryota; Metazoa; Chordata; Aves; Musophagiformes; Musophagidae.